CUUGGAAACACAGCUAGUUUAUAAAUUGAGGAGAGCCUGUACUGACAAAAAAGAAAUCUUUAUUUACAUGACAAUUGAGAGAGAGAGAAGGAAGAAUGUGGCAGAGUGUAGAUUUGUGCAGUGAGAAAAAUUAGUCUCUUGCAAUUUUGUAAGCUAAAUCUCAUCAACAGCUGUAACAAUGUCUUGCUAAUCCCAGGUAAACUCUCCUGUGAGCUCUCUUUCCCGCUGUGGCAAGGAAGCAAGGUCUAAGGCUGGCUAUUUUGCUUUUUACCCAGAACGCCAGUGCCGUGGACAAACUCCCACAUAACUGCGAUUUGCUUCCCUUCUCUUCUCAGGUGUACAACUUUUGCUCAAUGCUUUAAUGUAAUCUGGAGUUGGAUAAAGGAAGAAAAGAACACUGAAUUGAAGACUAGGAAGAAUUAAGAAGAGAAAACAUUAUAAUCUGUAACUGUUUUUUACUUUACAAUUUAUAUCCUCUUAGAGUGAAAGAGCAAAGCCUAGAAGCCAAGAGAAGCAGAGACAAUAAAUGGAGAUAUGGAAAGUGUCCUGGUGGCCUGUGAGUCUCAAGUUCCAACCACUCUGAGACAUCUGUCCACCUCAUUUAGUGGCUAAAGUAUUCCUUCGGUUAUAUGAGAUAACCCAAUUUCCUUACAGUAUAAUCCUCUUUUUGCUUAAGCUAUAUUUCAGUUAAUUUGUUUCUCACACUUGUAACUGGAAGUCUUGACUAAUUCAACAGCAACCUCUUCUCAGAUAGGUGGGCAAAUUUUGGAAUCAGACUCCUUCUCCUUUGUGCUAUGAUUGGCCCUCCUUGGGCAAUCUAAACAUUCCUAAUUAGUGUGCCCUUUGGCCAGAUAUCCAAACUCAUGGUGCUGUCUCCUCAUAC
RNAcentral lists this long non-coding RNA (883 nucleotides) under Equus caballus (horse). RNAcentral describes it as "lncRNA (ENSECAG00000055730.1)". The record is from RNAcentral. Lineage: Eukaryota; Metazoa; Chordata; Mammalia; Perissodactyla; Equidae.